Molecule: ribosomal RNA, 291 nt
Filed under: uncultured prokaryote
Description: partial 16S ribosomal RNA
Rfam family: Bacterial small subunit ribosomal RNA
Source: RNAcentral
UGUCAGCAGCCGCGGUAAUACGUAGGUGGCAAGCGUUUUCCGGAAUUAUUGGGCGUAAAGGGCUCGCAGGCGGUUUCUUAAGUCUGAUGUGAAAGCCCCCGGCUCAACCGGGGAGGGUCAUUGGAAACUGGGGAACUUGAGUGCAGAAGAGGAGAGUGGAAUUCCACGUGUAGCGGUGAAAUGCGUAGAGAUGUGGAGGAACACCAGUGGCGAAGGCGACUCUCUGGUCUGUAACUGACGCUGACGAGCGAAAGCGUGGGGAGCGAACAGGAUUAGAUACCCCGGUAGUCC